RNAcentral lists this long non-coding RNA (367 nucleotides) under Gossypium barbadense (sea-island cotton). RNAcentral's name for it is "long non-coding RNA (GBAR_LNC021764)". Lineage: Eukaryota; Viridiplantae; Streptophyta; Magnoliopsida; Malvales; Malvaceae. The record is from RNAcentral.
UCUAUGAAAUUCAAAAAAAGGGGUUCGGGAGUCGGUUACGCACGAGGAAGGAUUAGCACCCUCGAUACGCCCAAAAUUGGUACCUAGUUGAUUAAUUAGUGUCUUAGUGUCAAAAAUUGAAAAUUUGAAGAGUUUUAAAAAUACGAUCCUUAAAAGAAACUCUGAUAACGUGAAUUGAAAUAUAAGAUUCUCUUGUUCCGAAGGAAUAUCACAUCCAGCACGUUAGGACACGAUACUCUAAACCAUCGAAACCAAGAUCACCUUAUAGUUUAAUGAAACCAUACUUUGAAGCUUUAAGAGGAUAUUUGGCUAUUUAGUCGAACGAGAAAUCGAAACCCAGCACGUUAGGGCACGUUUUCUCGAUUUU